AAAUCAGGGAUCUUUCUGUCUUCACAGCUGGUUGUUAAAUAUUACCAGCACACCACUGAUGGACCUUAUAAGAUGUGUGGGAUUUCACUCUGGAGAGGUGGGAUAUGCCAAGUAGAAAGAGAAGUAUAAUGGAAGACAAAGGAUUGGGAGAGAAUUCAAGCUUGCUCAGAUUCUUUGGGUUGCAAGGAACAGUCACUCAACCUAGUUCAAAUGAUGAAGUUUGUGGUGAAGAAAUUGCAAAGCUGUGAGCGUGACGGAGACUUCUGGAAAACAGGAUCUGUGGAUUAGCCAGGCUUCGCAGAGACUGGAACCAGAUGUCGUCCUGAAUCUUGGGCAGCUCAAGAGACCUUAGGGGCAGGGAUUUGUGGAAUUCGUCACCCUCUUGCUAUUCUUCGAAGGGCUUUCCUCUAUUGCAUAGCUUCUACUACCUUGUGCUUCCUCAUCAUUUCCGCGGGCUCGCAGCCUCUCUAGCACCACCUCCGACUCAAAGCUUCUGCGACACCUUCCUUUCAGCAUCUCUCCCGAGGGCAGGACCCCCUUUAGUUUCUACUCCAGGUUCCCAAGCCAGCAAGGAUCUGACAGGCUUCCCUUGUCAGGCAGAGUACAUCACUCAGCUUUUUUCCCCCCAGCUCAGCCGGUGUGCCCCGGAAUGGAGGAUGGACCAUGGACUGAGUGGUCCAAACUGGCUGCCAGCGGGAUCCCAUAAGUGGACCAAGAGAAGAGGAAACUAUUCCAGCAUGCUAUCGCUGGCUCCUCCCAGCUCUGCUUAGAACUCAUCAUGGGCUGCUCUACGCUUGGCUGUCUGGUUCUUAUGAACAGCUAUGUCAGUAUCCCUACGUUGGAGAAAUGAUCAAGGAGAGUCUCCCUGGACACCACAUCCAUACAUUGAUGAUAAUAAAAGUAUUUAGAUUAAUGAUAGUAACCAUUUUGAGUGUCUGCUCUGGGCCAAGGCACUGUGCUAGGCACUUGCAUUUAUUAUUUCCUUUAAUCCUCUCAAUUACACCACUGGGGUAAGCAUUGUUAUGCUCAUUAUACAGAUAAGAAAACCAAAGUUUUAUUAAUUUAUUGAGCUCAAGUAAGUUGCUCAAGAUUACAGGGAGAGUAAGCAGUUGAGGCACAGAUUUGCAGCAUCAAUGUUUUUCCAAAAUCCAUAUCUUUUUCAGACGAUUUCAUUGCCUUAGGCCACGAUAGGCAGGGAAGAUACCCUGGACAGCUGGGGGUCUUCAUACAUGGAGACAGAAUUGAGAACAACUACUGUAAAUAUAAUAUUGUAAAGUUAAGUUAAUUAAUAUAUCUUUGCUUCCAUAACACAUUAUCUUUCAACACAACAGAGUGGAAUCACCUAGGGGAGAACUGACAUUUGUUGAGAAGAGGAAAUGCGUUAAGCACAUUGCAUACUGUAUCAGUCAAAAUGAAGUCAGAAAAACAGAAAUUAUGCUAGGUAUUUCAACCAGAGGGUAUUUAAUAUAAUGAGUGGAUUUCACAGGAGUUGGAACAUCCAAAAGGAGACAGUGAGUAAAUACAGAAAGCAACCUGAAGGCUGCAGGGGACAAAAGGAAAGACGUGGAACCAGAACCUAGGAAGGCAGAGGAAGGGCCACCACCUUAGGAGCUGGGCUGCUGCAGGGCCAUCGUGUACCUGGUACUGGACUGCCAAGGGGGCACUGUGUGGCUGGUGAGGGAACCUCUGAGAAAGUGGCUUGACACUGGUGGCAGCAGUGUCAAAAGAUGCCAGAGUUGUAACUGUCCAAAAGAAUGUGGAAGGAGGAAGAGAGUCCCUCUCUACUCCUGCCUCCCAGUCCCCCAGUUGUGCCUCCUGAUUGCAGACCCUGACUGGAAAUCAGCUAGCAAGGGAAUCUGGGAAAUAUAAUUGUCAGACUCCAAGCCCACAGCAUUACAAAUAAAAGUAUAGAAGUGUGUGCAUGGAACAGAGAGAUAAUAGAAAAUGACAAGCCCAUAUCAGUCAAUUCAUUGAGUCCUCUACCAAACUGUGACUAAAUAGAAGAACCAAAGUUCAAACAGGGAUCUAAUACCAGAAUUCGUGCUCUUGCAGUAUGUUUUAAACCCUUUAACUCAGUUUACAUUUAUACUUUGUCCUUGACUUUUUUUCUCUCAG
Molecule: long non-coding RNA, 2115 nt
Organism: Equus caballus (horse)
Lineage: Eukaryota; Metazoa; Chordata; Mammalia; Perissodactyla; Equidae
Source: Ensembl